RNAcentral lists this ribosomal RNA (301 nucleotides) under uncultured bacterium. Its description in RNAcentral is "partial 16S ribosomal RNA". It matches the Rfam family "Bacterial small subunit ribosomal RNA", at positions 509 to 809 of the family's 1533-position model. The record is from RNAcentral.
CAGUCGCCGCGGGAACACGGAGGGGGCUAGCGUUGUUCGGAAUUACUGGGCGUAAAGCGCACGUAGGCGGCUUGGUAAGUUAGAGGUGAAAGCCCGGAGCUCAACUCCGGAAUUGCCUUUAAGACUGCCGAGCUAGCAGGUGAGAGAGGUAAGUGGAAUUCCGAGUGUAGAGGUGAAAUUCGUAGAUAUUCGGAAGAACACCAGUGGCGAAGGCGGCUUACUGGCUCAUACUGGACGCUGAGGUGCGAAAGCGUGGGGAGCAAACAGGAUUAGAUACCCCCGUAGUCCCUGUCUCUUAUCA